CACGUAGGGCGCGAGCGUUGUCCGGAUUUAUUGGGCGUAAAGAGCUCGUAGGCGGCUUGUUGCGUCGGCUGUGAAAACCCAUGGCUCAACCGUGGGCUUGCAGCCGAUACGGGCAGGCUAGAGUUCGGUAGGGGAGACUGGAAUUCCUGGUGUAGCGGUGAAAUGCGCAGAUAUCAGGAGGAACACCGGUGGCGAAGGCGGGUCUCUGGGCCGAUACUGACGCUGAGGAGCGAAAGCGUGGGGAGCGAACAGG
This 253-nucleotide ribosomal RNA is filed under the name uncultured bacterium. RNAcentral's name for it is "partial 16S ribosomal RNA". It matches the Rfam family "Bacterial small subunit ribosomal RNA", at positions 524 to 776 of the family's 1533-position model. The record is from RNAcentral.